GUUAGCAACCUGUCUAUAGAGAUAUAUGGUAUGGCAAGAAGAGGAAUAAAACCUGAAAUUAAUGCACUAUCUACAAUAAUGUUUACAGUUGUAUUAAUUUUACUUUUAAUAUCAAAUAAGAAACAAUCUAUAGUAAGGAGUGAUAAAUAAUUAUGAAAUUAAGAAAAAUAUCAAUUUUAAUUACUAUAGGUUUAAUGGUUUCAACUAUGCUUACUGGAUGUGGGGCUACAGAUUCCAAAAAAGUUUUGAAUGUAUAUAAUGUCGGAGAUUAUAUAGAUGAAAAUAUAAUAACUUUGUUUGAAGAAAAAACAGGAAUUGAUGUACAGUAUGAAACUUAUGAUACUAAUGAAAUGAUGUAUCAAAAAGUUAAAAGUGGAAGUACUAAUUAUGAUUUAAUAUUCCCAUCUGACUAUAUGGUUGAAAAAAUGAAAAGUGAAGGACUUCUUCAAAAAAUAGAUUUUAAAAAUAUACCAAAUAUGAAGUAUAUAGACAAAAGCUUUUUAAAUCCUAUAUAUGAUGAAACUAAUGAAUAUAGUGUUCCAUAUAUGUGGGGAACUUUUGGUAUAUUAUAUAAUAAAAAAAUGGUUAAAGAACCAGUUGAUAGUUGGGAUAUACUUUGGAAUCCUAAAUAUAAAGGGAAUAUAAUGAUGUUCGACUCAGUUAGAGAUACUAUGGGAAUAUCAUUAAAAAGAUUAGGGUACAGUAUGAAUACAACUAAUCCUAAAGAAAUAAAUGAAGCAAUGAAAGAGUUAAUGAAACAAAAAGAUUUAGUAUUAGCAUAUGUAAAUGAUGAAGGUAAAGAUAGACUUUUAGGAGAAGAAGUGGCUAUGGGUAUUGCUUACUCAGGAGAUGCAGUGACUUUAAUGGAAGAAAAUCCUAAUUUAGCUUAUGCAAUACCUAAAGAAGGUACAAAUAAAUGGGUAGAUGCAAUGGCAAUACCUAAAAGCGCACAAAAUAAAAAGGAAGCUGAAAUGUUUAUAAACUUUUUAUUAGAUCCUGAAAUUGCAAAGAUGAAUGCUGAAUAUAUAGGAUAUUCAACUCCUAAUGUAGGGGCUUUAAAGUUAUUAGAUAAAGAGGUAACUUCGAAUCCUGUUGCAUAUCCACCUAAAUCUGUUAUGGAUAAGACUGAAACAUUUAUUGAUUUAGGAGACAAAUUAAGAUUAUAUGACGAAGCUUGGAUAAAGCUUAAGUCUAAAUAAAAAAAGCUCAUUUAAAUGAGCUUUUUUAUUUUUUUGCAUAAAUUAGCAUAUAAAAGUUUACAAGAUGAUAUUAUAAUAUAAAUUAGAAAGUGGAGGGUAGCAUGGGGAUAAGAAAAAAGAGAAACUUUAGAAGAAAAUUUAAGAUUAAUAAUAAAAAAAAUAAAGAGUUGCUUCAAAGUCUUAGUUUGAUUUUAGUUUUAUCAUUUGUUGUGGGAGGAAUAUACACUGUAUAUGAAAAUAAAAAUUACGAAAAAAAAAUAGCUAAAAUAGAGUCAUUGAAGAUCGAAGAGGAAAAAAUUAAAUUUAUUAAAGAUAUUGAAAAAGAAGCUGAAAGUAGUUAUAAGGAAUAUGGGGUAUUGCCAUCUAUAACUAUAUCUCAGGCUAUACUUGAGUCUGGUUGGGGGCAAUCAGAAUUAACAAAAAUCAGUAAUAAUUUAUUUGGAAUAAAAGCGGAUAAAAGAUGGAAAGGUGAAAAUGUAGAAGUAGCAACAUCAGAAAAUUAUAGUGAUGAAGUAAUGGCUAAAUUCAGAAAAUACAACUCAUUAAAUGAUUCAAUAAGAGAUCAUGCAAAGUUUUUAAAAGAAAAUCCGAGAUAUGCAGAACAUGGUUUGUUUGAAGGAAAAGACUAUAAAUCACAAGCUCAAGCAUUAGAAGAUGCAGGUUAUAGCACUAAAAAAAAUGAACAAGGGGAAGCUAUAUAUGCAGAUAUGCUAAUAGAUUUAAUAGAAAGAUAUAACUUAAAUUUAAUAGAUUAAUAAAAAAAUAUAAAAAAGUGUUGACUUCAAAAAAAAAGGAUGAUAUUAUUAUACAUGUGCUCAAGAGAGCAUGAGUUAAGAACUUUGAAAAUUAAACAGUAGGUUAAUUAUAAAAAUUCUUUUUUAAAGAAUUAAACACAAACAACCAAGCCAGAUAUUCAGAUAAUGAUUAGCUGAGCGAUGGACAACUUUUUAAAUUAUAUUUGAGAGUUUGAUCCUGGCUCAGGAUGAACGCUGGCGGCGUGCCUAACACAUGCAAGUCGAGCGAUCUCUUCGGAGAGAGCGGCGGACGGGUGAGUAACGCGUGGGUAACCUGCCCUGUACACACGGAUAACAUACCGAAAGGUAUACUAAUACGGGAUAACAUAUGAAAGUCGCAUGGCUUUUGUAUCAAAGCUCCGGCGGUACAGGAUGGACCCGCGUCUGAUUAGCUAGUUGGUAAGGUAAUGGCUUACCAAGGCAACGAUCAGUAGCCGACCUGAGAGGGUGAUCGGCCACACUGGAACUGAGACACGGUCCAGACUCCUACGGGAGGCAGCAGUGGGGAAUAUUGCACAAUGGGCGAAAGCCUGAUGCAGCAACGCCGCGUGAGCGAUGAAGGCCUUCGGGUCGUAAAGCUCUGUCCUCAAGGAAGAUAAUGACGGUACUUUGAGGAGGAAGCCCCGGCUAACUACGUGCCAGCAGCCGCGGUAAUACGUAGGGGGCUAGCGUUAUCCGGAAUUACUGGGCGUAAAGGGUGCGUAGGUGGUUUUUUAAGUCAGAAGUGAAAGGCUACGGCUCAACCGUAGUAAGCUUUUGAAACUAGAGAACUUGAGUGCAGGAGAGGAGAGUAGAAUUCCUAGUGUAGCGGUGAAAUGCGUAGAUAUUAGGAGGAAUACCAGUAGCGAAGGCGGCUCUCUGGACUGUAACUGACACUGAGGCACGAAAGCGUGGGGAGCAAACAGGAUUAGAUACCCUGGUAGUCCACGCCGUAAACGAUGAGUACUAGGUGUCGGGGGUUACCCCCCUCGGUGCCGCAGCUAACGCAUUAAGUACUCCGCCUGGGAAGUACGCUCGCAAGAGUGAAACUCAAAGGAAUUGACGGGGACCCGCACAAGUAGCGGAGCAUGUGGUUUAAUUCGAAGCAACGCGAAGAACCUUACCUAAGCUUGACAUCCCACUGACCUCUCCCUAAUCGGAGAUUUCCCUUCGGGGACAGUGGUGACAGGUGGUGCAUGGUUGUCGUCAGCUCGUGUCGUGAGAUGUUGGGUUAAGUCCCGCAACGAGCGCAACCCUUGCCUUUAGUUGCCAGCAUUAAGUUGGGCACUCUAGAGGGACUGCCGAGGAUAACUCGGAGGAAGGUGGGGAUGACGUCAAAUCAUCAUGCCCCUUAUGCUUAGGGCUACACACGUGCUACAAUGGGUGGUACAGAGGGUUGCCAAGCCGCGAGGUGGAGCUAAUCCCUUAAAGCCAUUCUCAGUUCGGAUUGUAGGCUGAAACUCGCCUACAUGAAGCUGGAGUUACUAGUAAUCGCAGAUCA
This 3473-nucleotide ribosomal RNA is filed under the name Paraclostridium bifermentans ATCC 638 = DSM 14991. RNAcentral's name for it is "Paraclostridium bifermentans ATCC 638 partial 23S ribosomal RNA". The stretch from base 2154 to 3473 matches the Rfam family "Bacterial small subunit ribosomal RNA", at positions 1 to 1351 of the family's 1533-position model. The record is from RNAcentral. Lineage: Bacteria; Bacillati; Bacillota; Clostridia; Peptostreptococcales; Peptostreptococcaceae.